Cygnus olor (mute swan) is the source of this 7649-nucleotide long non-coding RNA. RefSeq lists it as uncharacterized. The record is from RefSeq and is a predicted model, not a curated record. Lineage: Eukaryota; Metazoa; Chordata; Aves; Anseriformes; Anatidae. The transcript is spliced from 3 exons.
GGUCGCUCCCGGUGUGCCCGAGUUAGGGCCGAGAACUUGAAGCUCUUUUACAAGGGGGGCAGAACCUGAACGCGGGCUAAACCAUAAAGAAAAGCGAAACCCUUGGGUCCGGCUGAACCAACGCAACGGGGCGAAAGGCGCGCGGCGGCAGCCCAGCUGCCAGCACCGUGCGGUCGCUCGUGGUUUGGUGUUCUGUCGGUUUGUGUCCUCCCCGGCCUUGCCACACCAGGACACGUCGGCGGGCACGGCCGCGACACCGCGAGCUGGCACCAGCACAGCGCAAAGCGCCGUGGCGUGGGGCCGGGUGGGCCAACCGAGCAGGCUGUGCGAGCAGAAGCGACUGCCGCCACCACAGUAGUUGGUCCCUACUUGGAGCUCUGCCACCCAAAAACAAUACACUUUUUUUAAAUGACCACUGACCAAGGCCGUUCAGUCGCUGCGAGCAGCUGGCGUGGAGCCGGUGAUGGCUGCGGCCCCCCCGGGGCUGUGAAAUGCGGGCACACGAGGGAGUCGCAGCCAGCCCGGUGCUGGCGGCACGCAGGGGACCCCCGUCUUUGGGAUGGGACUGAUCUCGUCCCAUUUGUCCUGGGCCUUUUUGUGUUCCCAAGUUCCUUCAGGCAUCCUGAAGGGAAGGGCUUCGCUCUGUAUCCUGCACUUACAGGCAUGGCCAGCACCUCCCAGAGAAAUGCUGGCAGCCUGCGGGGCUGCUGCAUCCCCUCUCUGCCUCACCUGCGCCAGGGCUGGGGGAACCAGUUACCUGCAACAUUUUGGUCCAAAUAAGUCAUUUUUGCUGGCAGAUUUCCUCACGUAGUUUGAGCUCCAAAGUCCCAGUUCUGCAGAACCCGAGAAGUCCCGGCAGGUCCUUGCGCAGGUGGCACUGUUUAUUCAUCAGAACCACUUUUAAGAAAACAUUCUCGCUAAAGCCGUGCCACCUCUGGCAUCCAGAGAGACAAAAGAGCUGCAGCAAAUGUUUGUGGGAUAUUCAGGUUAUUUUGUAAGAUCUGAGCCGAUUCUUUUGAAAACGUCACUAAGUUUUGUUUUUGUUGUGAAGUUGUUUACACAAAGCUAAUAUAAAUUCAGUGCAUCCAGUCUGGGUGAAUAUAAACAUGAUCCUUGCAGGGCCUCAAGUUUCUGAUACGUCUCACAUUUAAGAUACUGCAGAAGUAGAUUCUAUCUCCCUGAGCAGUUCUGAUAGCAUAGAUUUUUCUCUCAAGGGUACAGAUGCCUGCACAGCUAUGCAAUGCUUCUCACUAGAGACAGAGCAAUAGACACAACAGAUGGAAACUGAGAGGCCACCUGGUUUUAAAGCAAAUCAUAUCAUCAAUCUAUCAGUACAAAAUCUAAAACAUGGGAAAGUGCUUAGAGAAACAAAAUGAAUUCAAUUCUCUUUUUUUCUCCAAACUCAAUUUUCUCAAGGUCUGUUGAUGUGCCACUUGCAAAAAUGCAUUUCUUUCUCUUGAAAAGAGACUGCCAGUGGAUCGAGGUACAAGAACUUUUGUGUUUUACAUCAAAACAAAACAAAAAGAAAGAAAAGGAUCUUUGGUUAGGCUGCCAUGAGUUACUGUCUUGCUAUUCAGAAAAGCUGUUUUCAAAAAUCUGCUACAUUCUUGUGCACAGCUUCAAGAUCCAGGUUUUUCACUGCUAAAUUAGACACACCAGACAGAAUUACUUUGGAUUAUCAACAGCAAUUCAGUUAAGAAAGAAAAUUAAAUUUCCUCAAUUAAGUCUUGACAGAAAUAGGCUUUCUUUCAUACAGUAUGCUCGGAUUCUGCUGCAGUUCUCCUUCAAACAACCCCCAAAGCGAGAACUUCCAGAAGAUGUUUGCGUUUUUCCUUCCCCGUUUCGGCCGCGCUAGGAGCAGCCGCUGGCCGGUGGCUCGCGGAGGAGGGAGGUCGGCCCUCGUGCAGGGCCGGGCCUACAAGGGCACGAGGUGCCUCGACACGCACCCAUCUAACGGCAGGUUGUGCCACACGCUGAGCUCAGCUCCCCAUUUCCAUUUAACCAAUUUCACUGUUUUAUGUAGUUCGAGAGUGUGUUGAUGUACAUUUUAAUCUACAAAUAUUUAAAGUCCCACUGACACAGCUGUCAGAAGGAACUCCCAGCAGGCAGCGUAAGCCUGAAGCUCAGUCUGUAAGGAACGGAGAGCUACAUAAAUAAGGGUACUUUAAAUAACUUCAUUUUUAACCUAACAUACAAGGAAGUGCUCUUCUGUUCCAGUGCAGCCAGGCAUUUCUGCCUCUAAAGCUGUACGGCCAAAGCUCACACGGUGACAGCCUGCUUGUUCCCCACAGCCCAAGUGUUUCGGCACUGUCCCGACCCGUGGCCUUGAGGCCACUUUACUGCCGUCAUUCAAACACAGCCGAGUGCCACAAGUAGGCCACCACAGCGGUGGGAGCUGGGAAAAUUAAACAGGUACCUUUCUUUAUUUCUUGCGGGGAUGAAGGUUCCCGGUAGUGAGUCUGUAUCUGGAAAACUAGAAUGAUCUCAACCCAAUUCUUUAAGGAUUUUAAAUCAACAUAUAGUCAAUGGGAUUGAUUUACCUUAUUCUGAGUGCUAAAUGCAACUGUCACUGUGUCCUUCAUCCUCAAUCCGUUAUUGAUAAAUUCCUGGCCCUAGUGACUUAAUAUAUGCCUAUUGACUUAUUUGUUAUUUUCCAUUCUUAAUAGCAUCCACUGUGGAGACUUCUGCUAACAGUUAUUUUCAGAAGAAAAAAAACCACCCUUCUUCCUCAAAUGAAACUUGCAGAGUUUAAAGAGCUUCAAUUUUCCAGCAGUAGCUAGAGAAGAUGGGCUGUGAAUUUUUCUUUCCCCGUGCACGGCGGCAGCAUGCCUUCUCCGCACACACACUGCAUGCAGGCUGACUUUCACGGUGUGUCUGCAGCCUGCAUGCUCGGUUCUCAUAUUUCUGUAAGGUUCGAGUCCCAAAGGAAGCAUUAAUGCUAAAGGAAUGCAUACCAGCGUGUAACUAGUCUAAAAGUCAGUACAAAAUCUCUCCAACAGAUUGCUCAGAGAAACACCUCUUUUUUACCGCACUUAAGAUCUGCAGAUUGAUCUCAUGAGCAUUUGUGCAACAGUUUAGUCUCAAACUGAUAAGAGUGCUGCACAAAGAGAGAAAGGGAAUCAAAGGAGAUUAAAAAGCGCUGGUCUUCAGGAAGAUAAGCGACCUAGAGCCGCCACGUGACCCCGCGAGCGCUCCAGCUCGGCCGCCUGCGGAUCUCAUCAGGGAACCAGAUGUGACCAGUGGCAGAAUAUCCUGCGCAGCGUGAGAUCUGGAGUCUGUGAUUGCCAUCCAGGAAAGGGGAGAUGGGAAAGUCUGCUCGUAGCAUCAGUGCUAUACAAUUUCACAGCCAGAGAAAGUGGGAUACAUUUUGCCAUGAACUUCAGCAGGAGCAGGACAGCAUAAUAACAUUUCAGGACAUUUGGGUCCUACUUGUGAGUCAGGACUCAAACUGCAUUCAGUGUUGUGCAAAAAAAUUCAGAACAAAGGAAGAUUCCUGCCCAUAAAAAGCCUGCAGGUUUCGGUGGGGCCAGAAGGAAGAUCACUUCUUGUUUUCUGGUGCUGCGUCCGUUCAGCGUGGGGAGCUAACAGCAAACUCCCCCCUUUGUUAUUCCCAUUUUGCAGACAGCAGAGACACUGCAACGGGAGAUCAUUUGCCCAGGGUCGCACAGCAAGUCAGUGGCAAGAAGAAAUGAGGCCCCAAAAGGUCAGAUUUCCAUUUUAAGGCAGGAAGGAGGAAAAGAUUCUGCGCAAAGUAACAAAUUCCAGCCCAAAUCUAAAGCACGUUCUCUUCAAGGGAAGAGAAGAGGAAUGUUGUAUCUAACACCACUGUGUAGGGCCGUGCCAACACUGCAAGUCCUCGGGGGUGCCCCUGCACAAGGCCCUUAGCUGCUGCUGUGUUGGAGCAGCCACUAGGAAAUAGCAAGUCAGAUAAAGAUGAGUUGCAGUGAAUGGAAAAUGGAAAACAGAUGCCGUACCAUCACAUUAUUUCCUCAAUGCAAGCUAAAAACAACUGACAGUUUCCCAUCAUACUGACGACUCAGGGCCCCAGUCAAACGGCUGGCAAAGUUUCUUUACUCCAAAACACUGGGGAUAAUGAAUUCAGAAGUUCUGAACAGCUGCUUUUCAUGGAUCAUUUGGAAUUUGCGAUGCAAAUAUGAAAAAUCCAUCUUAAAUGCCCUCAACUAAUUGAGUGGAGUGCAGUGAAUACAAAGGAAUAGAUCACUGACCUUGGUGAAAACAGCACAAAAGCCUUAAUCUGCCCAGAGAGACCCAGAAGGUUACUGAGGAGCAGAAGAGAGCAGAAGCCUGCGUACUCUCACUCAGGUUCCUAAUCCUGCUCACCACGAGGCAGCUACAAGACUUUCCUUUGGGGAACACGCAGCAGCCCCCAGCUCCCUCCCUUACAAACCACAGCAAUGGAGAAGGAGGUGGGUGGAAGCUGGGCUUCAGCCAAAUCGCUGGUGUCGGACCUGACAAUUCAAAGCAGAAUUUGACGCUGGGGGCGAAGAGAGAACAGUUAAAGAUACCAUUUAGGAGAGGUGAGAAGAUGUUUUUGAAUAGCUUAGAAGGCACAAGGCGAACGGAGCAGGAAGGCAGGGGUGGGUGGGAGUGGGGCGGGCGGGCAUCAGGACUGGAUCUCCGGGGCUGCAGCACUGCCGCUCACACACAACCAGAGGUGGAAGAGGCAAUACUGGCAAACUGAAAGCAAAGGAGAAGUGUAGCUUUCCGGGCUGACGUGGCGGAUCCGUUCACCUUGGAAAAACAAGAAUGUGUUCAUGUGGCCCGGCUGUAUGUUGCAAAUCCCUACCGUUUUUCCUUAGCUAGGUGUAUGCUCCAAAGGUAUUAAUUGUUAACCAGCAGCUGCCUGGACGAGGGGCUGUUAAUGCUGCGCGAGGCCGGGCAGAUAAGAUGUUGCUCUCCCAAGGCUCCCGGUAUGGAAAACAGCGGCAAGGUCCAGCAAGUCUCCCCAGUUGUAGUUUUCUAAAAUUGGAGCGUCACGUCCGCUGGGCUGCGCAUACCAGCUCUGGCCCUGUCAGCUGUUGCUCACUUUAUCAUCGCGUUCCUUCGCGGGGAGCAGAUCGCAGGCUCCCGCCACUGCGGGCACCGCCACACCUUGCCCAGGUUGUGUCCGCGAGGAGCAGCAGCACGGCAGCGCUGGAGACAAUGCAGGCCCAUCUGUUAUUUAUACCAGCUACUCCCUUUGGGCCUGAACAAGCAAGAAGCUCUCUUUAAAAGCUUGUAAUUGUUGGUCGCAUUCCAAGAGAGACAAAGGGAUGUUGUAAAAACAGUUCCGUUUGAGCUUGGUAAAACACUCUCCUAGGGCAGAGGCAGCAGGUUUCCUUUGUGGGAAGGCAGGAGGUGGACGGCUUUGUUCAAAUUCACGUUCACAUUUUUCUCUGUGUGUUUUAACGGCAUUCAUUCGGAUUUACAUUUUCUAGAGCAGUUUUCUGCAGUCGUAGGGUUUCAGUGGCAUUUCCGAGGCAGCAGCCCUGCUCCGUGCCCGCUCGGGCGGGUAUCGCUCAGGAAGCUGGCAGUGCUGACUCAGCUCCCCGGGGAGCCCGCCAAGCAUCUCUGUCCUCGCUGCCUCUGCUGCGAACAACCACAGAGCAAGAGCGUGUCGGUGCCCCUGGUUCAGACGCUGGGCAGAUAGCGGCUUCUCUGCAAGCAGGAAGGAAACGGAGGCACCACAGCGGUGCCACCGUUGUCAGAAAUGAGAGCAAAGACAAGCAAAGAGACCGAAGCGUCAGGAGGAAAACCAGGAUCGCGGUCAGGUGCUGUGCUAGAGGCCUGGGAAAACACUCCAGUUGUGCUCCACUCGUUUCAGCUGAGGUCUGAAUGCCCAGAAAGGGGCUGGAAGGUUGCCAAGACAACAGCGUUUUGAAAACCGCAGCGUGCAGGUUUGGACUGGGCCGGGGAACGUACUCGAGUUAUUUUGCAGUAUCUGGAGCCACAAGCCAGCAAGAGAAUGCGCACGGUCGGUAAUACCCAGCGGGAGCUGACACAGCCGUCACAAACUUCUAUUAUUCCUUUUACUCGGCGCGAUCCACAUGUUUUUCAUUAGGCCCAAAUUGUAAAAGAAAAUAUAUACAUAUUAAAUAAAAAUACCAGAGUUCUGCGAACGUGUGUUUGGCAGUUUGCAUUCAGGUUACAAAUGCUCACACUGUGUGUUUGAGAAAAAAGCUGUUUUACAAGGUUGUGAUCUGCAGGCAAGUAACGAGAGACAUGCCAUGUUCUCAGACAUGGUUUUGGCCCACACGUCCUCAAAAAGCAAAUAAACAAAAGCAAGUAAACUAAAUCAUCCUGCACGUCAACAGCUCGGUCGGUUUGGGAAGAUUAAUGCCUGGGAACAAAGGGGUUUAUGGAUCAGAGACCUCUUCGGUUUUCUGAACGUUGUAAGCCUGGUUCCCUAACGACGCAGGGCUCCUGCAUUCACAGCGUCCAUCUGUCCCCCCUCCAGCUCCUCUCCUGCCAACUCGCUGGCCAGUGAAAUAAUUUCACGUCGUUUGGCAGGGAGUUGGAGGGGGCUCCAACGCAGAUUUCAGCGUGAGGAAGUUUAAGACAAGCCAGCGGAACGGAACGUGAGCAGCCGAGCACCCUCGCUGAGGAAGCAGCACCGAGGGGCCCGGCUGUGCCCACGGGGCCGUGUCCCACGGUCCCACACCCCCACGCCCCAUCACCGUGACUGCGGCUCACGGCAACGGGGCCUGGAUGUGAAAUCCUGCGGCCCCCCUCCUGCUGCGCUGUGCACGGCCCGGAGUUGUGCCGCUGAGAAACCUGUGAGAACAAGCAGUAACUGUUGGGCAGCACCGUAAGUCAAGUUAGCAUUUACACCAUAAAAGUAUGCUGUGCUGGUGAAACACGUACAGAAGGAAGCAGCCUCUGAGAACGGAUUGUUUUAUGAGGGGCUGACUUCAAAAUGAGUCAUUUAGCACAGAGCAACAAUUGUGACUUUAUUAAAAAUCACCAUGCUCUGGAGUGAACUCCUUGGCUCGCAGCGUGUCCUGCCAACUCCUCCAUCAGAAAAUAGGUCCUGCUGAAUUCCCAUGGAAAAGCCCUGGAGCGGCUCCCAGCCCCAUCGCGCUCCCUGGGGACACCGCUGGCACCCCGGCUGCGCGCUCGCUUCCUGCCUGCUCCGGGCUGGAGCCUGCAGCCCUCAGCCCUCAGCCCUCAGCCCUCAGCCCUCAGCCCUCCGAGCUCCGUUCACAACUUCUGCUGCUUUUGUAACAACUUCCUACUGUUAUUCUCGUUCCCGUGCAUUCACUAGGUACAUUUUGUGCAGUGCUCAGGCACUGCAAAGUUAAUUAAAUUAAGCAAAAAUGCUCACGUGAGAUUAAAAUAAGACCCCCUCACAGCAGAUCUGCAAACUGCAGCAGCUUACCUGCCUCUGCCAAGGAGCAGGUACCGACAGCUCCUGCGCGGCACGGGCAGGACGUUUGGGAGGAAGAGCACAAAGCCAAGGAACAGCAAGUGUGGGAAAAACAGGGCUUCUCGUGCUGGUUUCCAGAGCCCUUAAUGGGAUCCAACAAAUGCAGAUAUAAAACAGAUUGUCUGCUCGAUAUUUUAACUUUUAAGUGUACGGACUUUGCACGGCGAAUUUAAAACUCUGCACUGAACUCCUUUCUUCUCUCCCCCUGAAAACAGGUUUUAGG